GGACACGUGGUAUCCUGUCUGAAUAUGGGGGGACCAUCCUCCAAGGCUAAAUACUCCUGACUGACCGAUAGUGAACCAGUACCGUGAGGGAAAGGCGAAAAGAACCCCGGCGAGGGGAGUGAAAAAGAACCUGAAACCGUGUACGUACAAGCAGUGGGAGCACAGGUUUACCUGUGUGACUGCGUACCUUUUGUAUAAUGGGUCAGCGACUUAUAUUCUGUAGCAAGGUUAACCGUAUAGGGGAGCCGGAGGGAAACCGAGUCUUAAUUGGGCGUUAAGUUGCAGGGUAUAGACCCGAAACCCGGUGAUCUAGCCAUGGGCAGGUUGAAGGUUGGGUAACACUAACUGGAGGACCGAACCGACUAAUGUUGAAAAAUUAGCGGAUGACCUGUGGCUGGGGGUGAAAGGCCAAUCAAACCGGGAGAUAGCUGGUUCUCCCCGAAAGCUAUUUAGGUAGCGCCUCGUGAAUUCAUCUCCGGGGGUAGAGCACUGUUUCGGCUAGGGGGCCAUCCCGGCUUACCAACCCGAUGCAAACUGCGAAUACCGGAGAAUGUUAUCACGGGAGACACACGGCGGGUGCUAACGUCCGUCGUGAAGAGGGAAACAACCCAGACCGCCAGCUAAGGUCCCAAAGUCAUGGUUAAGUGGGAAACGAUGUGGGAAGGCCCAGACAGCCAGGAUGUUGGCUUAGAAGCAGCCAUCAUUUAAAGAAAGCGUAAUAGCUCACUGGUCGAGUCGGCCUGCGCGGAAGAUGUAACGGGGCUAAACCAU
This 771-nucleotide ribosomal RNA is filed under the name Salmonella enterica subsp. enterica serovar Paratyphi B var. L(+) tartrate +. Its description in RNAcentral is "partial 23S ribosomal RNA". It matches the Rfam family "Bacterial large subunit ribosomal RNA", at positions 420 to 1190 of the family's 2925-position model. The record is from RNAcentral. Lineage: Bacteria; Pseudomonadati; Pseudomonadota; Gammaproteobacteria; Enterobacterales; Enterobacteriaceae.